RNAcentral lists this ribosomal RNA (319 nucleotides) under uncultured Bacteroidales bacterium. Its description in RNAcentral is "bacterial SSU rRNA". It matches the Rfam family "Bacterial small subunit ribosomal RNA", at positions 28 to 339 of the family's 1533-position model. The record is from RNAcentral. Lineage: Bacteria; Pseudomonadati; Bacteroidota; Bacteroidia; Bacteroidales.
GAUGAACGCUAGCUACAGGCUUAACACAUGCAAGUCGAGGGGCAGCAUGUCAGUGGCUUGCCACUGAUGAUGGCGACCGGCGCACUGGUGAGUAACACGUAUGCGACCUGCCCCGGACAGGGGGAUAAACCCGGGAAACUGGGUCUAAUACCCCAUAUGCCCUGAGGACGCAUGUCCUUAGGGUGAAAGAUCCGUCGGUCCGGGAUGGGCAUGCGGCGCAUUAGCUUGUUGGCGGGGUAACGGCCCACCAAGGCGACGAUGCGUAGGGGUUCUGAGAGGAAGGUCCCCCACACUGGUACUGAGACACGGACCAGACUCC